GGUUCGAUUCUGGCUCAGAUUGAACGCUGGCGGGAUGCCGCACACAUGCAAGCCGAACGGCAGCACGGACUUCGGUCUGGUGGCGAGUGGCGAACGGUGAGUAAUGUAUCGGAACGUGCCUAGUAGCGGGGGAUAACUACGCGAAAGGUGGUAGCUAAUACCGCACAGCUCCCUGGGGAAGCGGGACCUUCGGGCCUCGCACUAUUAGAGCGGCCGAUAUCGGAUUAGCUAGUUGGUGGGGUAACGGCUCACCAAGGCGACGAUCCGUAGCUGGUUUGGGAGGACGACCAGCCACACUGGGACUGAGACACGGCCCAGACUCCUACGGGAGGCAGCAGUGGGGAAUUUUUGACAAUGGGGAAACCCUGAUCCAGCCAUCCCGCGUGUGCGAUGAAGGCCUUCGGGUUGUAAAGCACUUUUGGCAGGAAAGAAACGGCACGGGAUAAUACCCCGUGCAACUGACGGUACCUGCAGAAUAAGCAAUCGGCUAACUACGUGCCAACAGCCGCGGUAAUACGUAGGGUGCAAGCGUUAAUCGGAAUUACUGGGCGUAAAGCGUGCGCAGGCGGUUCGGAAAGAAAGAUGUGAAAUCCCAGAGCUUAACUUUGGAACUGCAUUUUUAACUACCGAGCUAGAGGCAGAGGGAGGUGGAAUUCCGCGUGUAGCAGUGAAAUGCGUAGAUAUGCGGAGGGACACCGAUGGCGAAGGCAGCCUCUGGGAUAACACUGACGCUCAUGCACGAAAGCGUGGGGAGCAAACAGGAUUACAAUUCUGGUAGUCCACGCCCUAAACGAUGUCAACUAGCUGUUGGGGCCUUCGGGCCUUGGUAGCGCAGCUAACGCGUGAAGUUGACCGCCUGGGGAGUACGGUCGCAAGAUUAAAACUCAAAGGAAUUGACGGGGACCCGCACAAGCGGUGGAUGAUGUGGAUUAAUUCGAUGCAACGCGAAAAACCUUACCUACCCUUGACAUGUCUGGAAUCCCGAAGAGAUUUGGGAGUGCUCGUAAGAGAACCGAACAAAGGUGCUGCAUGGCUGUCGUCAGCUCGUGUCGUGAGAUGUUGGGUUGUCCCGCAACGAGCGCACCCCUUGUCAUUGCUACGAAAGGGCACUUUAAUGAGACUGCCGGUGACAAACCGGAGGAAGGUGGGGAUGACGUCAGUCCUCAUGGCCCUUAUGGGUAGGGCUUCACACGUCAUACAAUGGUCGGGACAGAGGGUCGCCAACCCGCGAGGGGAGCCAAUCCCAGAAACCCGAUCGUAGUCCGGAUCGCAGUCUGCAACUCGACUGCGUGAAGUCGGAAUCGCUAGUAAUCGCGGAUCAGCAUGUCGCGGUGAAUACGUUCUCGGGUCUUGUACACACCGCCCGUCACACCAUGGGAGUGGGUUUUACCAGAAGUAGUUAGCCUAACCGUAAGGAGGGCGAUUACCACGGUAGGAUUCAUGACUGGGUGAAGUCGUAACAAGGUAA
This 1468-nucleotide ribosomal RNA is filed under the name uncultured Bordetella sp. Its description in RNAcentral is "partial 16S-23S ribosomal RNA intergenic spacer". It matches the Rfam family "Bacterial small subunit ribosomal RNA". Lineage: Bacteria; Pseudomonadati; Pseudomonadota; Betaproteobacteria; Burkholderiales; Alcaligenaceae. The record is from RNAcentral.